This 596-nucleotide ribosomal RNA is filed under the name Cordalia obscura. Its description in RNAcentral is "partial 16S ribosomal RNA". It matches the Rfam family "Bacterial large subunit ribosomal RNA", at positions 1845 to 2712 of the family's 2925-position model. Lineage: Eukaryota; Metazoa; Arthropoda; Insecta; Coleoptera; Staphylinidae. The record is from RNAcentral.
AUUUAAAGUCUAGCCUGCCCAAUGAAAUAAUUUAAAUGGCCGCAGUAUUUUGACUGUGCAAAGGUAGCAUAAUCAUUAGUUUUUUAAUUAAAAACUGGAAUGAAGGGUUGAACGAAAAAAUAACUGUCUCUAUGUAAAUUAUUUAGAAAUUUAUUUUUAAGUUAAAAAGCUUAAAUUUAUUUGAAAGACGAGAAGACCCUAUAGAGUUUUAUAAAUUUAAUAUUAAUUAAAGUAGUAGAAUUAUUAAAAUUUUUAAGUUAAAAUUUAUUUGAUUGGGGUGAUAAAAAAAUUUAAAUAACUUUUUAAAAAUAAUAACAUUUAUUUAUGAUUUAUUGAUCCAUUAAAAUGAUUAAAAGAUUAAAUUACCUUAGGGAUAACAGCGUAAUUUCUUUGAAGAGUUCUUAUCGAUAAAGAAGAUUGCGACCUCGAUGUUGGAUUAAAAUAUAUUUUUAAUGUAGAAGUUAAAAAAAUUAGGUCUGUUCGACCUUUAAAAUUUUACAUGAUCUGAGUUUAAACCGGUGUGAGCCAGGUUGGUUUCUAUCUUUAAAUUAAUAAAAUAUUUUAGUACGAAAGGACCAAAUAUUUAUAAUAAUUAU